This 467-nucleotide ribosomal RNA is filed under the name uncultured bacterium. RNAcentral's name for it is "partial 16S ribosomal RNA". It matches the Rfam family "Bacterial small subunit ribosomal RNA", at positions 28 to 506 of the family's 1533-position model. The record is from RNAcentral.
GACGAACGCUGGCGGCGUGCUUAACACAUGCAAGUCGAACGGUGAUGCUCCAGCUUGCUGGAGUGGAUCAGUGGCGAACGGGUGAGUGACACGUGAGCAACCUGCCCCAGACUCUGGAAUAAGCGCUGGAAACGGCGUCUAAUACUGGAUACGAAACUGGCCCGCAUGGGCAUGGUUUGGAAAGUUUUUCGGUUUGGGAUGGGCUCGCGGCCUAUCAGCUUGUUGGUGAGGUAAUGGCUCACCAAGGCGACGACGGGUAGCCGGCCUGAGAGGGCGACCGGCCACACUGGGACUGAGACACGGCCCAGACUCCUACGGGAGGCAGCAGUGGGGAAUAUUGCACAAUGGGCGAAAGCCUGAUGCAGCGACGCCGCGUGAGGGAUGACGGCCUUCGGGUUGUAAACCUCUUUCAGCAGGGAAGAAGCGAAAGUGACGGUACCUGCAGAAGAAGCACCGGCUAACUACGU